CCUACGGGGUGCUGUAGUGAGGAAUAUUGGUCAAUGGACGAGAGUCUGAACCAGCCAAGUAGCGUGAAGGAUGACUGCCCUAUGGGUUGUAAACUUCUUUUAUAUGGGAAUAAAAUGUUCCACGUGUGGGAUUUUGUAUGUACCAUAUGAAUAAGGAUCGGCUAACUCCGUGCCAGCAGCCGCGGUAAUACGGAGGAUCCGAGCGUUAUCCGGAUUUAUUGGGUUUAAAGGGAGCGUAGGUGGAUUGUUAAGUCAGUUGUGAAAGUUUGCGGCUCAACCGUAAAAUUGCAGUUGAAACUGGCAGUCUUGAGUACAGUAGAGGUGGGCGGAAUUCGUGGUGUAGCGGUGAAAUGCUUAGAUAUCACGAAGAACUCCGAUUGCGAAGGCAGUUCACUGGACUGCAACUGACACUGAGGCUCGAAAGUGUGGGUAUCAAACAGGAUUAGAUACCCUUGUAGUC
Molecule: ribosomal RNA, 460 nt
Filed under: uncultured bacterium
Lineage: Bacteria
Description: partial 16S ribosomal RNA
Rfam family: Bacterial small subunit ribosomal RNA
Source: RNAcentral